GCUUCUCUGACGCAGGCAGAUUUUUGCACCAACAGGAUUGGCGCUAGAGGAAGGGGGGCGAACCUUCGCAGUACCCUUGUUCUUAAAGGAGCGCUCAACGGGACCGCCUUUGGUCAUCUUUUCCGAUGUCCUCUCCUCCUCCCCCCACUAGAUCUUCGCCUGAUGCCUCCCCGCAAAGCAUCCAUGCGGCGAUCUACGACCUCCGCGGUCAGAUCUCAGGCUCCAACCUCGCCCCCAGUUUCCCAGCCUCCUCCUCCUCCGGCAACGACGGUUGGCGUGGAGCAAUUCGACCUACUGGUGCAGCAGGUCAGAGGCCUCACUGAAGCUGUGCAGGCCAUACAACAGCAACAGCAGCCGCAGGCAUCAGC
RNAcentral lists this long non-coding RNA (368 nucleotides) under Elaeis guineensis (African oil palm). Its description in RNAcentral is "long non-coding RNA (EGUI_LNC078934)". Lineage: Eukaryota; Viridiplantae; Streptophyta; Magnoliopsida; Arecales; Arecaceae. The record is from RNAcentral.